This 185-nucleotide ribosomal RNA is filed under the name Amnirana galamensis (Galam white-lipped frog). RNAcentral's name for it is "partial 16S ribosomal RNA". The record is from RNAcentral. Lineage: Eukaryota; Metazoa; Chordata; Amphibia; Anura; Ranidae.
GCCUAAAAUCUAGCCCACUAACCCCACCUAUAAUCAAUCCUCCCUUUUGUUUAUCAAUAAAACAUUUUUUUAUUUUAGUACAGGAGAUCAAAAAAUUUCUAAGCGCUUUAGAUCAAGUACCGCAAGGGAAAGAUGAAAUAAAAAUGAAACAACUUUAAAGCCCCAAACAGCAGAGAUACUAUCUC